AGCUGUGUCACGUCAAAGUCAGGUCCCAGCAUGCAGUCCUGUCCUGCGCUGCGUGCCUGUGUCUCAUGUGCGCCUUGGCUAAAGGUCUGUCUGAAUAAAAGAUGCCACAUAAACAUAUGUCCAAUUCUGAAUUGUUUUGGAACUAUAGCUGGUUUAGCUGUAAAAGAAGGGGAGAAGAAGCAGGCUUGUACAAGUGCUCCUCAAGUUACAAACAUACUUUGUACAUAUUCAUAACUUAGAUACUGCUAUUAUUUGACCCCAUAAAAUACUGAAAUAACUUUAUAUACAGUGCUUGCUAGUUGAACAUGAUAAACC
Molecule: long non-coding RNA, 315 nt
Filed under: Androctonus crassicauda
Lineage: Eukaryota; Metazoa; Arthropoda; Arachnida; Scorpiones; Buthidae
Source: RNAcentral